RNAcentral lists this ribosomal RNA (492 nucleotides) under uncultured bacterium. Its description in RNAcentral is "partial 16S ribosomal RNA". It matches the Rfam family "Bacterial small subunit ribosomal RNA", at positions 29 to 507 of the family's 1533-position model. The record is from RNAcentral.
AGUGAACGCUGGCGGUAGGCCUAACACAUGCAAGUCGAACGGCAGCACAGUAAGAGCUUGCUCUUACGGGUGGCGAGUGGCGGACGGGUGAGGAAUACAUCGGAAUCUACUUUUUCGUGGGGGAUAACGUAGGGAAACUUACGCUAAUACCGCAUACGACCUACGGGUGAAAGCAGGGGAUCUUCGGACCUUGCGCGAUUGAAUGAGCCGAUGUCGGAUUAGCUAGUUGGCGGGGUAAAGGCCCACCAAGGCGACGAUCCGUAGCUGGUCUGAGAGGAUGAUCAGCCACACUGGAACUGAGACACGGUCCAGACUCCUAAGGGAGGCAGCAGUUGGGAAUAUUGGACCAUGGGCGCAAGCCUGAUCCAGCCAUACCGCGUGGGUGAAGAAGGCCUUCGGGUUGUAAAGCCCUUUUGUUGGGAAAGAAAAGCAGCAGGUUAAUACCCCGCUGUUCUGACGGUACCCAAAGAAUAAGCACCGGCUAACUUCGUG